This 468-nucleotide ribosomal RNA is filed under the name uncultured bacterium. RNAcentral's name for it is "partial 16S ribosomal RNA". It matches the Rfam family "Bacterial small subunit ribosomal RNA", at positions 28 to 507 of the family's 1533-position model. The record is from RNAcentral.
GACGAACGCUUUCUUCUUUCUUAACACAUGCAAGUCGAACGGAAAGGCCCUGCUUUUGUGGGGUGCUCGAGUGGCGAACGGGUGAGUAACACGUGAGUAACCUGCCCUUGACUUUGGGAUAACUUCAGGAAACUGGGGCUAAUACCGGAUAGGAGCUCCUGCUGCAUGGUGGGGGUUGGAAAGUUUCGGCGGUUGGGGAUGGACUCGCGGCUUAUCAGCUUGUUGGUGGGGUAGUGGCUUACCAAGGCUUUGACGGGUAGCCGGCCUGAGAGGGUGACCGGCCACAUUGGGACUGAGAUACGGCCCAGACUCCUACGGGAGGCAGCAGUGGGGAAUAUUGCACAAUGGGCGGAAGCCUGAUGCAGCAACGCCGCGUGCGGGAUGACGGCAUUCGGGUUGUAAACCGCUUUCGCCUGUGACGAAGCGUGAGUGACGGUAAUGGGUAAAGAAGCACCGGCUAACUACGUG